This 510-nucleotide ribosomal RNA is filed under the name uncultured Clostridium sp. Its description in RNAcentral is "bacterial SSU rRNA". It matches the Rfam family "Bacterial small subunit ribosomal RNA", at positions 189 to 707 of the family's 1533-position model. The record is from RNAcentral. Lineage: Bacteria; Bacillati; Bacillota; Clostridia; Eubacteriales; Clostridiaceae.
AAAGAAACCGCAUGGAAGGAACCUUAAGGAGAAAUCCGCUUUGAGAUGGGCCCGCGUCGCAUUAGCUAGUUGGAGGGAUAAAAGCCCCCCAAGGCGACGAUGCGUAGCCGACCUGAGAGGGUGAACGGCCACAUUGGAACUGAGAAACGGUCCAGACUCCUACGGGAGGCAGCAGUGGGGAAUAUUGCACAAUGGGCGAAAGCCUGAUGCAGCAACGCCGCGUGAGUGAAGAAGGUUUUCGGAUCGUAAAGCUCUGUCAUCCGGGACGAUAAUGACGGUACCGGAAGAGGAAGCCACGGCUAACUACGUGCCAGCAGCCGCGGUAAUACGUAGGUGGCGAGCGUUGUCCGGAAUUACUGGGCGUAAAGGGUGUGCAGGCGGAUAUUUAAGUGAGAUGUGAAAGACCCGGGCUUAACCCGGGCAGUGCAUUUCAAACUGGAUAUCUAGAGUGCAGGAGAGGAGAACGGAAUUCCUAGUGUAGCGGUGAAAUGCGUAGAGAUUAGGAAGAAA